CAGAGCUCGAACCGCCGGCCAGGAGUUGCUCUGGGUCCUUGCGUGUGGCGAUGCCAUCAUCAUCCCUACUUCACAGAUGAAGACACUGACACGGGGAGAUGUUCGGAGACAUCCUCUAAGUCACAUGGCUGGUGAUGGCAGAGCUGGGAUCCGAGCCGUACUAACCAUCGGAUUUUGCUGAUUUGCUAUCAUGGAAAACCCAAUCUUGGCUAAAGGGUGUUGGCAGGGUUAGAAGAAGGGUUAGAAGAAGGGGUCCUGCCCAUGUGGACAGGAGAGGGGAUGCCAGAGGAAAGACAGAUAAAUCCAUGAGCUGGGGCAAAGCCUAGCCGGCCCUCCCUCCAGGAGAGCAGGGUCCGAGCUCAGUGAGUGAAGCCAGCACAAGCCAGGAGAAAGCCGGGAGGCUCUGGGAGGCAGCCCCCUUGCAGAGCUGGCCAGGGAGCUGCAGGGAGCCCUCAGAAGGCCCUGGAGACUGGUUUCCCCUUGCGCUCCUCGCCUAGGUCCUUCCCACCGGCUCCCCCCAUCACUGCUUUCUCUGCUUUCCAGGAGUGAGUGACAAGCGCACCUCCUUGAAGCCUGCCGAGCUGCGAAGCUGCCCUGGGGUGUGGUGGGAGCAGAGGGACCAGGGCACAGAUCUCAGCUCCAUGUUUGCUCUGUGGCUGUGCGGCCAAGGAGCGCCCACCCGCAUGCCCGUGAGCCUCACCGACAGGGUGGCGUGGUGCAGAGAUCCCAGCUACCCACACCCACACCUGGCCCUGCACAGAAAACGCAGCCAUAGCUAUGGACUUGGAGAAACAUACAUUCAUCUUCUAUGCACAGCUGUCCCCCAGCUCUCCAGGCCCACUUACCUGAUGAUGACAGAAAUAACUCCGGCUACCAUCGACUGGGUACUCGCGGUGCAGGGCACCAACUGCUUUCCAUAUGUGAUCUUACUUAAUUUUCACUUGAUAAGGUAGGUACCACUGUGAUUUACAGGAGGGGAAACAGAGGCUCAGAGAGGUUAAGUAUCUUGAUCCAGGUCACACAGCUGGUUAGCGCCAAAGCUAGGAUUAGAAACCAGGUCCUUGUCAGACUCCAGAGCCUCUGGGCUGAAGUGCUGGGCAACCUUGGCUCCCACUUACUUCACUCGCACUCCCCUUCCAUGCAGCUCUG
RNAcentral lists this long non-coding RNA (1149 nucleotides) under Ursus americanus (American black bear). Its description in RNAcentral is "lncRNA (ENSUAMG00000011781.1)". The record is from RNAcentral. Lineage: Eukaryota; Metazoa; Chordata; Mammalia; Carnivora; Ursidae.